AUGAACGCUGGCGGCGUGCCUAAUACAUGCAAGUCGCGCGAACAGACGAGGAGCUUGCUCCUCUGACGUUAGCGGCGGACGGGUGAGUAACACGUGGAUAACCUACCUAUAAGACUGGGAUAACUUCGGGAAACCGGAGCUAAUACCGGAUAAUAUAUUGAACCGCAUGGUUCAAUAGUGAAAGACGGUUUUGCUGUCACUUAUAGAUGGAUCCGCGCCGCAUUAGCUAGUUGGUAAGGUAACGGCUUACCAAGGCAACGAUGCGUAGCCGACCUGAGAGGGUGAUCGGCCACACUGGAACUGAGACACGGUCCAGACUCCUACGGGAGGCAGCAGUAGGGAAUCUUCCGCAAUGGGCGACAGCCUGACGGAGCAACGCCGCGUGAGUGAUGAAGGUCUUCGGAUCGUAAAACUCUGUUAUUAGGGAAGAACAAAUGUGUAAGUAACUAUGCACGUCUUGACGGUACCUAAUCAGAAAGCCACGGCUAACUACGUG
RNAcentral lists this ribosomal RNA (496 nucleotides) under uncultured bacterium. RNAcentral's name for it is "partial 16S ribosomal RNA". It matches the Rfam family "Bacterial small subunit ribosomal RNA", at positions 29 to 507 of the family's 1533-position model. The record is from RNAcentral.